CUAACAGAGGAAUGAUUUGACUGAUUGCAACCUCUAAAAAAAAUUGCUAAAGCAGUAUUU
Molecule: non-coding RNA, 60 nt
Filed under: unclassified sequences
Also listed under: 1 other name
Source: RNAcentral